GACGAACGCUGGCGGCGUGCUUAACACAUGCAAGUCGAACGGAAAGGCCCCUUUGGGGGUACUCGAGUGGCGAACGGGUGAGUAACACGUGAGUAACCUGCCCUUGACUUCGGGAUAACUUCAGGAAACUGGGGCUAAUACCGGAUAGGAAUCCUUGCUGCAUGGUGGGGGUUGGAAAGCUUCGUCGGUUUUGGAUGGACUUGCGGCUUAUCAGCUUGUUGGUGGGGUAGUGGCUUACCAAGGGCUUGACGGGUAGCCGGCCUGGGAGGGCUACCGGCCACAGUGGGACUGAGAUACGGCCCAGACUCCUACGGGAGGCAGCAGUUGGGAAUAUUGCACAAUGGGCGGGAGCUGGAUGCGGCAACGCCGCGUGCGGGAUGACGGCCUUCGAGUUGUAAACCGCUUUCAGCAGGGGCGAAGCUUGUGGUGACGGUACCUGCAGAAGAAGCACCGGCUAACUACGUG
RNAcentral lists this ribosomal RNA (465 nucleotides) under uncultured bacterium. RNAcentral describes it as "partial 16S ribosomal RNA". It matches the Rfam family "Bacterial small subunit ribosomal RNA", at positions 28 to 507 of the family's 1533-position model. The record is from RNAcentral.